RNAcentral lists this long non-coding RNA (2856 nucleotides) under Homo sapiens (human). Its description in RNAcentral is "HSALNT0028761". The record is from RNAcentral. Lineage: Eukaryota; Metazoa; Chordata; Mammalia; Primates; Hominidae.
UAAAGCUUCAUCUGUCUCAAAACCAGAGUGGAAGUUGAACAGUGCCUUGCUCUGGGAAGCUCCGGGCAUUCCUAGAUGAUGGCUGCAUCUUACAUGCUGCUGAAGUCUGACCUAAAGGAGACUGAAAGAUAAGAUGAGAAUGAAUGAAAGAAGCCCAACUGUAUUAGUCAUUUAUUGCUGCCUAUCAAAUUUACCCAAAACUUAGCAGCUUAAAACAAACAAGAUUUAUUACCUCACACACUAUCUGACGGUCAGGAAUCGAAGAGCAGUGUGGCUGGGUGGUCCCGGCUCCGUGUUUCUCACAAAGUUGCAGUCAGACGUCAGCUGAGGCUACAGUCAUCUCGAGUCUCUACUGGGGCUCAUGGAUUCAAUGCCAAGUUUACUCGCAUGACUGUUGGCUAGAGGCCUCAGUUCUUUGCCAUGUGGCUCUCUUUACAGGGCUACCUGGUUUCUGCCUGAGCAGCAAGUGAUGAAGGAGAGUGAGCGUAUGAGAGAGUAAGAGAGUGAGCCCAAUCGUGGACUGACCACACAAUUGACCCUGGUUUACUGUGAGAAAGGACACAGACUGUGAACACCAGGAGCUUGACUACAUUUCCCAGCGUCCUUUGGAGUGAGACUACAUCUCCCAGCAUCCUGGCAGUUAGACAAUUUUCUAGUCUCCUUUGCAGGGAUCUUGGAAGCCCCAUGUUGAAGGUGGCAGAGCAACAAAAAUUGAGGAAACCCUGAAUCCCUGAAUUACUAUUUGGAGAUGACCACCCACUAAUUCGGAACACUCAUUAUUGGGCUUUAGGAGAAUGAGAAGUUCUAUCAUGUUUGAGACUCCGUACAUCUUUGGAUUUGUUUUAACAGCUAGUUUUACCCUGGCUAACAUGGCAAUUGACAGCCUCUGAGAGGAGAUUUGGAGAAUCUGCUUUUUUAACAAGUACUCCAGGGGAGUUUGAGAAUCACUGCUGAAAGCCAAGGGGAGCCAGCCACCCAAGGAUUUAACGCUGACCAAGGAACACCACGCUAUUUGCAUUUUAGAAUGACAGCAAGGGAGCAGAACUCUGCCCCCUUCUUGUCUGCCAAGGAGAACAAUCUACUGACUCAAAAGAAAAAGAAAACUUUGGUAAGAGAAAAUUGAAGCUCUAGAUGAGUGAAAAGAUUCUAACAGCACCAAGCUGCCGUAAAUGAGCUCAAGUCUCCUGGCCAGGACAAAUUACACUCCAGGGAGUAGAGAGAACUCGCCUCUGAAGCUGUAAAGCCUCUGCUGAUAAUCUUUACAGAACAUGGAGACUGUGAAAGAAAUUGGAACGCUAGAAAUGGCAAAAUAUAGCUCUGAUUAGUAAAGAGGGGGAAAGCUUCUGCAAACUACAAAAGUGGGGCUAUCCUAUCCAUCCUCAUUAAAUUCCCUGAUCAGACUACUUAAGGCUGAGCUGUGAGUACGUGAAAAAUGGAGCAGAAUCCUCUAGAAGCCUGUGUGGGUUCUUUAAGAGCAAGCCACGACAAGGCAUUGGACCAGGAAGGAGAGAAAUGGGGCCUUUUCUGGCCAGGUGCUCUCACUGACUCCGGGUACAAGGAAGAAUACAAUAUGAUUCCUGUCCUCAAGUCCACAUGCCUGUGGAUACUAACCUUUACACAGACAACAUAAGAACUGAACAGGGUGGUAUUUAAUUAAGAUAAAAGAAGUAGCAAGAGUAACAAGUAAUAAGUGAGAAUAAGUAUUAAACUAUGUACUGACUUUGGGAGUACCCAGGCUCCAUUUUUAUGCCAAAUCUCUGGUGUUAAGGCAUAAAAGAUACUGUGUUUAGAACAUGUCCUGAAAGGGAACAUGUUCUAAAAAAAACACAAAACAGCAGAAAGGAUAACGUUCUGCUGCUGACUUGUGUUCAUUGUUCAACUUGUGGGCCACUAGGACUCUUGAAUCUUCUUUCUCCAUAUUUGCAUCUAAUUAGCAUUUGUGUAGUUGCUAUCUUUCCCUGAAAUGUUUCUUUCUCAACACUCAGUAUUGCCGUAACAAGAUGGGGAAACAGAGGAAAUAAUUUUUUUAAAUGUUCAAUUGAUUUCCUUUUUUAAAAAGACACCUUUAUUGAAUUAUUACAUAUCAUAAAAUUCAUCUGUUUUAUGUGUGCAACUCGAUGAAUUUUAGUAAAUUUACAGAGGUGUGCAGCCAUCACAACCAGCUUUAAAACAUUUCCAUUACCAGACAGAAUAAUUUAAGGGCACAAUCCAAUGAAUGUGGGCAUAUUUAACCUACUUGAGCAUGCAUUUCUGAAACUGUUGUACUUAAGAAAAUCUGUCAGCAAAUUUUGAGUUGCUUCAUGAUAUACUUUUGCAAGACAAAGCAAAAUGUGCAGAAGGAAGGAUCUGUGUGCCUGAAAUCCUAAGAAACCAUUAUCUAUUUUGCAGAUCACUUUAUUAAUAAACAGAUUAUUACAAAAGUAAUUAUCUUAGAGAUGACAAUGCCAUUAGCUAACCCAUGUUGUUGUCUAUUGGGACAUAUAAAAAGUCUUUUUAAUUUGCUCUUCAAAAAAUCACUUACACCCACAACACUACUUCAGUCAACAAAGUAAAUCUAGGUAUGGGAAAACCAUGGCAAAAACUUUUUGCCAUGCUUUACCUUUUUGUCUUUAAAAUUUAAUGUAUUCAUUUUCGUUCGGAUUCUCUUUUCUCUCUUGAUUCACUGGAGGAAGGAUUUCUCUGGUGAAAAGUACCCCAAUCUGAUGCCUUUGCAAAAGCAGUCACCCCUCUGGCAUGAAAGGCACCAUUCAAUCAUCCAAACUCUUAGAGGUGAAGGGUACACUGAAUAAUGAGUGCUAAGAUGGUGUCUAUUGUAUUAUAAAUACCCAUUUUAGAAAACCCAAUAGUCAGAAAGUU